AUGCCGCGGCCCCAGUAAACGCCAUCACCAGACCCCUGA
This 39-nucleotide small RNA is filed under the name Propionibacterium ruminifibrarum. RNAcentral describes it as "Propionibacterium sp. JV5 CRISPR_Spacer". Lineage: Bacteria; Bacillati; Actinomycetota; Actinomycetes; Propionibacteriales; Propionibacteriaceae. The record is from RNAcentral.